This 301-nucleotide ribosomal RNA is filed under the name uncultured bacterium. Its description in RNAcentral is "partial 16S ribosomal RNA". It matches the Rfam family "Bacterial small subunit ribosomal RNA", at positions 509 to 807 of the family's 1533-position model. The record is from RNAcentral.
CAGCAGCCGCGGGAAUACGUAGGUGGCAAGCGUUGUCCGGAAUUAUUGGGCGUAAAGGGCUCGCAGGCGGUUUCUUAAGUCUGAUGUGAAAGCCCCCGGCUCAACCGGGGAGGGUCAUUGGAAACUGGGAAACUUGAGUGCAGAAGAGGAGAGUGGAAUUCCACGUGUAGCGGUGAAAUGCGUAGAGAUGUGGAGGAACACCAGUGGCGAAGGCGACUCUCUGGUCUGUAACUGACGCUGAGGAGCGAAAGCGUGGGGAGCGAACAGGACUAGAUACCCCCGUAGUCCCUGUCUCUUAUAC